CAAGUGGAACAUACGGCGGCGGGGCGGCUUCGGCCGUCCUGAGGAAAGUCCGGGCUUCACAAGGGAUGGUAACUGCUAACGGCAGCCGGGGGUGACCCCAGGGAUAGUGCAACAGAAAUAGACCGCCCUGCUCUGCGGGGUAAGGAUGGAAAGGCGAGGUAAGAGCUCACCAGCGCACUGGCGACUUUGCGGCUAUGUAAACCCUACCAGAAGCAACACCCGUAUGGGACAGAUGCGUACCCUGCGCGUCCCGGAGGUGGCAUGAGCCGUGCGGCGACGCACGGACACAGACAGAUCGUCGUUUAAUACAAAACCCGGCUUACGGUCCAGUUGUUUU
RNAcentral lists this RNase P RNA (337 nucleotides) under Candidatus Anaerofilum faecale. RNAcentral's name for it is "RNase P RNA component class A". It matches the Rfam family "Bacterial RNase P class A". Rfam says of the family: Ribonuclease P (RNase P) is a ubiquitous endoribonuclease, found in archaea, bacteria and eukarya as well as chloroplasts and mitochondria. Its best characterised activity is the generation of mature 5'-ends of tRNAs by cleaving the 5'-leader elements of precursor-tRNAs. Lineage: Bacteria; Bacillati; Bacillota; Clostridia; Eubacteriales; Oscillospiraceae. The record is from RNAcentral.